AACGAACGCUGGCGGCAGGCUUAACACAUGCAAGUCGAACGCGUGUAGCAAUACACGAGUGGCGCACGGGUGAGUAACGCGUGGAUAUCUGCCUUUUGGUUCGGAAUAACCCCGGGAAACUGGGGCUAAUACCGGAUGGUUCCUUCGGGAUAAAGAUUUAUCGCCAAAAGAGGAGUCCGUGCCCGAUUAGCUGGUUGGUGAGGUAACGGCUCACCAAGGCGACGAUCGGUAGCUGGUCUGAGAGGACGAUCAGCCACACUGGGACUGAGACACGGGCCAGAUUCCUACGGGAGGAGGCAGGGGGGAAUAUCGGACAAUGGGGGCAACCCUGAUCCAGCCAUGCCGCGUGAGUGAUGACGGCCGUCGGGUUGUAAGCUAUUUUGGCGGGGACGAUGAUGACGGUACCCGCAGAAUAAGCCCCGGCUAACUUCAUGCCAGCAGCCGCCGUAA
Molecule: ribosomal RNA, 450 nt
Filed under: uncultured bacterium
Lineage: Bacteria
Description: partial 16S ribosomal RNA
Rfam family: Bacterial small subunit ribosomal RNA
Source: RNAcentral